Molecule: ribosomal RNA, 253 nt
Filed under: uncultured bacterium
Lineage: Bacteria
Description: partial 16S ribosomal RNA
Rfam family: Bacterial small subunit ribosomal RNA
Source: RNAcentral
UACAGAGGUCUCAAGCGUUGUUCGGAUUCAUUGGGCGUAAAGGGUGCGUAGGCGGCGCGGAAAGUUGGGUGUGAAAUCCCUCGGCUCAACCGAGGAACUGCGCCCAAAACUACCGUGCUCGAGGAAGAUAGAGGUGAGCGGAACUCACGGUGGAGCGGUGAAAUGCGUUGAUAUCGUGAGGAACACCCGUGGCGAAAGCGGCUCACUGGGUCUUUUCUGACGCUGAUGCACGAAAGCUAGGGGAGCAAACGGG